UACGUAGGGUGCAAGCGUUGUCCGGAAUUAUUGGGCGUAAAGAGCUCGUAGGCGGUCUGUCGCGUCUGCUGUGAAAACUCAGGGCUUAACCCUGAGCUUGCAGUGGGUACGGGCAGACUAGAGUGCGGUAGGGGAGACUGGAAUUCCUGGUGUAGCGGUGAAAUGCGCAGAUAUCAGGAGGAACACCGGUGGCGAAGGCGGCUUCCUGGACCGACACUGACGCUGAGGCGCGAAAGCUAGGGGAGCAAACGGG
Molecule: ribosomal RNA, 253 nt
Filed under: uncultured bacterium
Lineage: Bacteria
Description: partial 16S ribosomal RNA
Rfam family: Bacterial small subunit ribosomal RNA
Source: RNAcentral